Molecule: long non-coding RNA, 340 nt
Filed under: Vulpes vulpes (red fox)
Lineage: Eukaryota; Metazoa; Chordata; Mammalia; Carnivora; Canidae
Description: lncRNA (ENSVVUG00000009141.1)
Source: RNAcentral
UCUACAGUCACGAGGAGCAGCUGACUUUGGGACAACUACAAGAGGCCAACGCUGUAUAAACUGGUGCCGCAGAAGGGGUAGAAGUCUGAAAGAUGAAGGAGGAUGCCAGAGGCUCGAACACUUCAAUGUCAAUGUCAAGGAUCCCACAUGGAAGAGGAGGUUAAGUGUUUCGGUGAGGCCUCUGGAGAGAAGCCUUCUCUCCCAAAUGAGAAGGACAGUGGUGGAAGAGCAACUUUCAUGAAACAACCUCCAAUAUAGCACAUGUUUGAAUUGAUUGCCCAGGAAACAAUAUGAAGAAAAAAUAGAAAGUUCCUCAUUGUUUUAUUAAAAUCUAUUCCAG